UUUGAGUUAUAGGAUGGAACCAACAGAAGUGACAUUUCACAGAUGGAUACCAAAGCUGUUAAAGUUUCAACUCUUACUGGCAGUGAAAUUACAGUUUUCACAGGGGCCUUGACUCCAGCUUCUCUCUUUAUCCAUCUUUAAAAGACGGAAGCUUCUGUAUCGAAAAUUUGAAGGACAAGGGAGAAAGGAAGGAGAAGAGAGAAAAGGAGAACAAGGAGAUCAAAAUGUCUGCAUCAUAUGGGGAAGAACCUCUGGGGCAGCCCACCUCAGUCCCUUGUCCUUUGUUUCUGGGUCUGAAACCAAACAGGUAGGAUAUUCACUUUCAAUUUUAGUAUAAAAGUUAGACAAACGUUUGAAUAGAUUCAAGAUGGUGGAUUGAAUUUUUUUUUAUUGUGUGUGUGUGUCCAUGUGUGUAGAGGUCAGAGG
This 426-nucleotide long non-coding RNA is filed under the name Rattus norvegicus (Norway rat). RNAcentral's name for it is "long non-coding RNA NONRATT032385". Lineage: Eukaryota; Metazoa; Chordata; Mammalia; Rodentia; Muridae. The record is from RNAcentral.